AUGUUCAUGGCGCAGGAAGAGCCCGGCCUAGCCCUGGGCCUCUCCCUCGGCUCCGGUGCCGGGCACCACCACCACCAGCUGCCUCAGCCGAAAGAAGCGGUGCCUCUGGAGCCGUACCUGUCCCUGAGCCUGGCCGGCGCCGGCGCGGUGAAGAGGGAGGAGGAGGAGAGGGCCCUGAUCUACUGCUCGGCAGCGUCGUCGGCGGCGGACGACCUGGUCGAGGGGUACAACAGCAGCGGUGGCGGCAGCCGGAAGAAGCUGAGGCUGACCAAGGACCAGACGGCGCUCCUGGAAGAUCACUUCAAGGAGCAGAGCACCCUCAGCCAUAAGCAGAAGGCAUCUUUGGCAAGGCAGCUCAACCUCAGGCCAAGGCAGGUUGAGGUUUGGUUCCAGAACAGAAGAGCCAGGACGAAGCUGAAGCAAACGGAGGUGGACUGCAAGCUGCUCAAGCGCUGCUGCGAGACGCUAACGGAGGAGAACCGCCGCCUCCACCGUGAGCUCCAGCACCUCCGCGCCCUCCACCACCACCAACACCACCACCCAGCCGCCGCUUUCUUCAUUCCGUCCGCCGCCACGGCGGCCUCCGUUUGCCCUUCCUGCACCGGUGCACCGCCUGCCCACGCCGCCGACCGCCCUGCCACCAAACGCAGCUUCUUCGCCACCAAAUCCGCAGCUUGCUAG
This 681-nucleotide ribosomal RNA is filed under the name Triticum aestivum (bread wheat). RNAcentral describes it as "partial small subunit ribosomal RNA". The record is from RNAcentral. Lineage: Eukaryota; Viridiplantae; Streptophyta; Magnoliopsida; Poales; Poaceae.